ACACAUGCAGUCGACGGUAACAGGACUUCGGUCGCUGACGAGUGGCGCACGGGUGAGUAACGCGUGGGUUACCUGCCCAUAAGUGGGGAACAACUUGGAGAAAUCCAAGCUAAUACCGCAUAAUACCUUCGGGUUAAAGAGGGGGAUCUUCGGACCUCUCGCUUAUGGAUGGUCCCGCGUCUGAUUAGCUAGUUGGUAGGGUAAUGGCCUACCAAGGCAAUGAUCAGUAGCUGGUCUGAGAGGAUGAUCAGUCACACUGGAACUGAGACACGGUCCAGACCCCUACGGGAGGCAGCAGUGGGGAAUUUUGCACAAUGGGCGAAAGCCUGAUGCAGCGACGCCGCGUGCGGGAAGAAGGCCUUCGGGUUGUAAACCGCUUUCAACAGGGAAGAAGGAAUGAGAGCUAAUACCUCUCUGCCUUGACGGUACCUGUAGAAGAAGCACCGGCUAAUUUCGUGCCAGCAGCCGCGGUAAUACGAAAGGUGCAAGCGUUGUUCGGAUUUACUGGGCGUAAAGAGAUCGUAGGUGGCUUGUUAAGUCGGAUGUGAAAUCCCGGGGCUCAACCCCGGAACUGCAUCCGAUACUGGCAGGCUUGAGUUUGGGGGGGGUAAGCGGAAUUCCGUGUGUAGCAGUGAAAUGCGUAGAUAUACGGAGGAACACCUGAGGCGAAGGCGGCUUACUGGACCAAUACUGACACUGAGGAUCGAAAGCGUGGGUAGCAAACAGGAUUAGAUACCCUGGUAGUCCACGCCCUAAACGAUGUCAACUAGCCGUUGCGGGUAUCGACCCCUGCAGUGGCGCAGCUAACGCGAUAAGUUGACCGCCUGGGGAGUACGGUCGCAAGAUUAAAACUCAAAGGAAUUGACGGGGGCCCGCACA
This 879-nucleotide ribosomal RNA is filed under the name uncultured bacterium. RNAcentral's name for it is "bacterial SSU rRNA". It matches the Rfam family "Bacterial small subunit ribosomal RNA", at positions 51 to 927 of the family's 1533-position model. The record is from RNAcentral.